This 1366-nucleotide ribosomal RNA is filed under the name Curculionidae sp. KM-2017. RNAcentral's name for it is "16S ribosomal RNA". The stretch from base 1076 to 1234 matches the Rfam family "Archaeal large subunit ribosomal RNA", at positions 2544 to 2703 of the family's 2987-position model. The record is from RNAcentral. Lineage: Eukaryota; Metazoa; Arthropoda; Insecta; Coleoptera; Curculionidae.
GAUUACUUUAUAGUAUAGUUUGAGGUUUUAAAAUUAUUAAAUUUUAAAAUAUUAAAAAUUUUAAAAGAAAUAUUUAAUUUUUAUAUUAGUUUUAUUUGAAGUAAUAAAUAUAAUUAUAAAGUAUUAGUAUUGUUAAAGAAAUUUUAUUAAUUAAUAAAAAGAAAAAUUUAUUUUUUGUACCUUGUGUAUCAGGGUUUAUUAAAUAAAAUUUAUUAAAUAUAAAUUUCUCAAAUUUAAAAGAGUUAUAAUUAUAUAAUUUUUAUUGUGAAAUAAAUAUUAUAAAUAUAGUUAUAGAAGUGAAAUGCUAAUCGAUUUUAAAUAUAUUUAGUUUUUUAAGAAAAAAAUUUAAUUUUUUUUAUAUUUUAUUAUCAAUUUAAGUUAUUAAAUUUAUAAUAGUAUAAUUUUAUAUUUUUAGGGAUGAGCUUAAAAAUAAAUUUUAUAUAACUUAUUUUGUUUAGAUUAAUAAGUAGAAUUAGAAGUUUUUAUCUUUUAUAGUGUUUUAUUACUGGUUAAUAAAAAUUUAAAAAUUUUUAUUAAGUUUAUAUAUUUUAUUAAAAAAUAAAUAAAAAUUAGGAAUAUUUAGAGAAAAUGAUAAAAUUAGUAUAUAAAUAUGUUUAUUAUAGAUAUAUUUAUUAGGUUAAUUAAAGGAACUCGGCAAAUAUAUUUUUCACCUGUUUAAUAAAAACAUGGCUUUUUGAUAAUAAUUUAAAGUCGGACCUGCCCAAUGAAAUUAUUUAAAUGGCCGCGGUAUUUUGACCGUGCAAAGGUAGCAUAAUCAUUAGUUUUUUAAUUGAAAGCUUGUAUGAAAGGUUUGAUGAGAAAAUAACUGUCUCUAAUUAAAUUAAAUAGAAUUUUAUUUUUAAGUAAAAAAGCUUAAAUUUUUAUAGAAGACGAGAAGACCCUAUAGAGUUUUAUAAAUAAUUAUUAAUUUAAAUUUUUAGAAUUUUUUUUAGGUUCAUAAUUUUUUUAUUUUGUUGGGGUGAUAAAAAAAUUUAAAUAACUUUUUUUGUAUUAAAUCAUUUAUAAAUGAUUAAUUGAUCCAAUUAUUUUGAUUAUAAGAAAAAACUACCUUAGGGAUAACAGCGUAAUUUUUUUUUAGAGUUCAAAUCAAAAAAAAAGAUUGCGACCUCGAUGUUGGAUUAAAAUUAAGGAUUGGUGUAGAAGCUAAUCUUUUGAGUCUGUUCGACUUUUAAAAUUUUACAUGAUCUGAGUUUAAACCGGUGUGAGCCAGGUUGGUUUCUAUCUCUAUAAAAAUAACAUAUCUUAGUACGAAAGGACCAGAUAUCUAUUUUAUAGAAAAUUAUCAUUAGAAUACUAUUAAUGUUAUUUUGGCAGAUUAGUGUGAUAGAUUUAGAAUCUAUGGAAG